Molecule: ribosomal RNA, 456 nt
Filed under: uncultured bacterium
Lineage: Bacteria
Description: bacterial SSU rRNA
Rfam family: Bacterial small subunit ribosomal RNA
Source: RNAcentral
AACGAACGCUGGCGGCAUGCCUAACACAUGCAAGUCGAACGAAGCCUUCGGGCUUAGUGGCGCACGGGUGCGUAACGCGUGGGAAUCUGCCCUUGGGUUCGGAAUAACAGUUAGAAAUGACUGCUAAUACCGAAUGAUGUCUUCGGACCAAAGAUUUAUCGCCCAAGGAUGAGCCCGCGUCGGAUUAGCUAGUUGGUGAGGUAAAGGCUCACCAAGGCGACGAUCCGUAGCUGGUCUGAGAGGAUAAUCAGCCACACUGGGACUGAGACACGGCCCAGACUCCUACGGGAGGCAGCAGUGGGGAAUAUUGGACAAUGGGCGAAAGCCUGAUCCAGCAAUGCCGCGUGAGUGAUGAAGGCCUUAGGGUUGUAAGGGCUCUUUUUACCCCGGGGAUGAUAAUGACAGUACCGGGAGAAUAAGCCCCCGGGCUAACUCCGUGCCAGCAGCCGCGGUAAU